UGGGGAAUAUUGCACAAUGGGCGCAAGCCUGAUGCAGCCAUGCCGCGUGUGUGAAGAAGUCCUUCGGGUUGUAAAGCACUUUCAGCGGGGAGGAAGGCGAUAAGGUUAAUAACCUCAUCGAUUGACGUUACCCGCAGAAGAAGCACCGGCUAACUCCGUGCCAGCAGCCGCGGUAAUACGGAGGGUGCAAGCGUUAAUCGGAAUUACUGGGCGUAAAGCGCACGCAGGCGGUCUGUCAAGUCGGAUGUGAAAUCCCCGGGCUCAACCUGGGAACUGCAUCUGAUACUGGCAAGCUUGAGUCUCGUAGAGGGGGGUAGAAUUCCAGGUGUAGCGGUGAAAUGCGUAGAGAUCUGGAGGAAUACCGGUGACGAAGGCGGCCCCCUGGACGAAGACUGACGCUCAGGUGCGAAAGCGUGGGGAGCAAACAGG
This 429-nucleotide ribosomal RNA is filed under the name Chloroflexota bacterium. RNAcentral's name for it is "Chloroflexi bacterium partial 16S ribosomal RNA". It matches the Rfam family "Bacterial small subunit ribosomal RNA", at positions 355 to 776 of the family's 1533-position model. Lineage: Bacteria; Bacillati; Chloroflexota. The record is from RNAcentral.